AUGUCCGACGUGACGGCGGUGAUGGAUCUGGAGGUGGAGGAGCUGAAGCUGGCGCUUCCACCGGGCUUCCGGUUCCACCCCACCGACGAAGAGGUGGUCACCCACUACCUCACCCGCAAGGUCCUCCGCGAAUCCUUUUCCUGCCAAGUGAUCGCCGACGUCGACCUCAACAAGACCGAGCCGUGGGAUCUCCCCGGUGAGUACUACUACUCCCUCCUUGACAGGAGCGUUCGUUUGAUUCGAUUUGCAGCGCGCUCAUGGCCGGCGGUUCGUUUUGCAGGGAAGGCGAAGAUGGGCGAGAAAGAGUGGUUCUUUUUCGUGCACAAGGGCCGGAAGUACCCGACGGGGACGCGCACCAACCGCGCGACGGAGAAGGGGUACUGGAAGGCGACGGGGAAGGAUAAGGAGAUCUUUCGCGGCAAGGGCCGGGACGCCGUCCUCGUCGGCAUGAAGAAGACGCUCGUCUUCUACACCGGCCGCGCCCCCAGCGGCGGGAAGACGCCGUGGGUGAUGCACGAGUACCGCCUCGAGGGCGAGCUGCCCCAUCGCCUUCCCCGCACCGCCAAGGACGAUUGGGCUGUUUGCCGGGUGUUCAACAAAGACUUGGCGGCGAAGAAUGCUCCGCAAAUGGCGCCGGCGGCCGGCGGGGCCAUGGAGGACCCGCUCGCCUUCCUCGAUGACUUGCUCAUCGACACCGACCUCAACCUGUUCGACGACGCGGACCUGCCGAUGCUCAUGGACUCUCCGUCUGGCGCUGACGACUUCGCCGGCGCUUCGAGCUCCACCUCCAGCGCCGCCCUGCCGCUCGAGCCGGACGCGGAGCAUUUGACUAUCAAGAUGGAGCCGCCGCCGCAGCAGCAGCAGCAGAUGCAGAGCCCAGACUACUUCAUGCCGGCGACGGCCAACGGCAAUCUUGGCGGUGCCGGGUACUCAACCUACCAGGCUGUGGUGGACCAGCAGGCCGCGAUCCGCAUGUACUGCAAGCCGAAGGCGGAGGUAGCGUCUUCGUCGGCGCUGGGCUUGGACAUGGGGGCGCUCGCCGGCGCGGACACCUCGUUCCUGAUGCCGUCGUCGCGGUCGUGCCUCGAUCUGGAGGAGCUGUUCCGGGGCGAGGCUCUCAUGGACUACUCCGACAUGUGGAAGAUCUGA
RNAcentral lists this ribosomal RNA (1149 nucleotides) under Triticum aestivum (bread wheat). Its description in RNAcentral is "partial small subunit ribosomal RNA". Lineage: Eukaryota; Viridiplantae; Streptophyta; Magnoliopsida; Poales; Poaceae. The record is from RNAcentral.